RNAcentral lists this ribosomal RNA (253 nucleotides) under uncultured bacterium. Its description in RNAcentral is "partial 16S ribosomal RNA". It matches the Rfam family "Bacterial small subunit ribosomal RNA", at positions 524 to 776 of the family's 1533-position model. The record is from RNAcentral.
CACGUAGGGGGCAAGCGUUGUCCGGAAUUAUUGGGCGUAAAGAGCUCGUAGGCGGUCUGUCGCGUCGGCUGUGAAAUCCCGAGGCUCAACCUCGGGUCUGCAGUCGAUACGGGCAAACUAGAGUAUUGCAGGGGAGACUGGAAUUCCUGGUGUAGCGGUGAAAUGCGCAGAUAUCAGGAGGAACACCGGUGGCGAAGGCGGGUCUCUGGGCCGAUACUGACGCUGAGGAGCGAAAGCGUGGGGAGCGAACAGG